CCAAGUUACCAACACCGAGUUUUCCGGUGGAUUUUUGUUCAGCAAAGAAGCUAGCAAGCGAGAAAAACAGAGAGAAAGAGGGUCGGAGGAGAAAGCAGGAUACUAAAAGGAGUGGGAUAGAGAGGAGGGACAACGAUGCCGCUCUCUGGGCUGUGACACUCUCCGAGACCGAGUGCUUCAUCUAUUCUUCCUUGCUAGACUGGAAGACACGAGUUAGAUGGAGCAUCGACCUUCUCCGCUCCCUCUCAUAGAUGCGUCACUUUCGUCUAUCUCCCGUCUCGGUCAUAAGUCCUAGUUCUUUGUCGACUAGGACCCCUUCAUUUUUCUUCUCCUCUCUGUUGUCUCCUCCCCCUGGUUUUUCUCCCUCUUCUCGUCUUCCUGCAGCUGAAGGUUCCUCAGUUGCCGACUCCUGUCGACGAUCCUUACUUUCCAACCCUCUCGUGCAUGUGGACGUUUCCACAGGAGGUCGAGAUGCAGUCCACAUGGUGUUUCAGGUGCGGCCGAGAACGUCGGAAGCGACGCUUCAAAGAUUUCUCUUUCGUAACUUGCGGUAGCUAUGGCGCGUAUCUUUUUGUCCCGCCUCGAGAGUUCUGUACUACCGUGAGGUCCUGUAACUGUUCAAAGAUAUGUGCUCAGACUCAAGUAGUGGUAUAUGGACUAGACAGUGUACCCUUUUUAUACGUAAUGAUCUGGUCCCGAAUCGUGAGGUCACGGAAUCGUUACUUGGGGGUCUUAUUUUGGUUUUUCCCGUCUCCUGUUAGUCUUCAUGUUUGCCGUGUCUCCUCUCUUUCUCUCCUUUUAUUCCUAUUCUUCCACUCGACCUUCCAGUUAAAGAGCUUCCUGCGGUCUUCUUUUCGUAGAAGCUAUUUUCGGGGUAACAUGCAACUGCGGCACAGCCCAGAAAAACCAAAGUGCCCCUUAACUCGAC
RNAcentral lists this long non-coding RNA (928 nucleotides) under Toxoplasma gondii VEG. The record is from RNAcentral. Lineage: Eukaryota; Apicomplexa; Conoidasida; Eucoccidiorida; Sarcocystidae.